CCUACGGGUGGCAGCAGUGGGGAAUAUUGGGCAAUGGGCGAAAGCCUGACCCAGCAAUGCCGCGUGAAUGAAGAAGGUCUUAGGAUUGUAAAAUUCUGUCCUAUGGGAAGAAAAAAAUGACGGUACCAUAGGAGGAAGCCCCGGCUAACUACGUGCCAGCAGCCGCGGUAAUACGUAGGGGGCGAGCGUUGUCCGGAAUUACUGGGCGUAAAGAGAGCGUAGGCGGCACUACAAGUCUCAUGUGAAAUACCCGGGCUUAACUUGGGGGUUGCAUGGGAAACUGUAGAGCUUGAGUACAGGAGAGGCAAGCGGAAUUCCUAGUGUAGCGGUGAAAUGCAUAGAUAUCACGCAGAACCCCGAUUGCGAAGGCAGCCUGCCAAGCCAUGACUGACGCUGAUGCACGAAAGCGUGGGGAUCAAACAGGAUUAGAUACCCCAGUAGUC
Molecule: ribosomal RNA, 443 nt
Filed under: uncultured bacterium
Lineage: Bacteria
Description: partial 16S ribosomal RNA
Rfam family: Bacterial small subunit ribosomal RNA
Source: RNAcentral